RNAcentral lists this ribosomal RNA (139 nucleotides) under uncultured eukaryote. RNAcentral describes it as "partial 18S ribosomal RNA". It matches the Rfam family "Eukaryotic small subunit ribosomal RNA", at positions 1299 to 1458 of the family's 1831-position model. The record is from RNAcentral.
UGGUGGGGUGACUUGUCUGCUUAAUUGCGAUAACGAACGAGACCUUCACCUACUAAAUAGCUACACGAACCCCAGGUUCGUGGCCAGCUUCUUAGAGGGACUAUGUAAGUUAAUUACAUGGAAGCGGGAGGCAAUAACA